Paramuricea clavata is the source of this 805-nucleotide non-coding RNA. The record is from the annotation of a GenBank genome assembly. Lineage: Eukaryota; Metazoa; Cnidaria; Anthozoa; Malacalcyonacea; Plexauridae.
GCGUGUUUACAAAAAGGCACAAUCGUGUCAAUAUUGCCAAAUGUUUGUACAAAAUAAAUGACUGUUUUAUGUUGAAAAUGGACAUGAUCUAAAUUAAUCAUACAGAAUUUUUUAGAGACGUUCUAUUUCAGAACCCUGCUAUUGUCUCUGGUGGGCUGUCCGUGUGCAUUCGAUCUGAAACAGUCGCUACUAUGCUGUCGAAAAAUUUCGAAUGUUUACAUGAACAUAGAGGCAAGUUAUGCAUUUUACAACCUCGUAAACUGUAUGAGCCCCUAUUUUUACGCUUAUACCUAAGAUAUCAAAUAAAAGUACAUGAAACAGAGAACACUUUCAGAAAGUUUUAUCGUGAGGCGACGGCCAGUUUUUAAAAUAUCUUUAUUUCUGUUCCGGUCAUCACCAAAAUUACACUAAAGCCGGGCUUGAAUAUACAACAAAUUUUGAAUCUCAUCGGAGUACAAAAAUAUUUAACGUGUAACCAAAAUAUGCUCACGAAAUCGAAAUUAAUAGCUAAAUUUUCAAACUAGACCCUUCUCGAAGCGGUUUUCAUGAAGGAAGUUCACAUUUCGGCCUUUGAUUCUUGGCAAAAAUUUGACAACAACACGUGCGAAGCAACUGGGUCUCAAAGACUCAGCUAAAACAUUGUGAGCCCCUAUUUUCCUGACGAUAUGUUUGAUACCUACAAACACCUAAAAGUUUUUUCUUUUCAUUUAUCUAUAUUUGAAAUUGAGGCCACGGGCUAUUUUUGAGAAAAUACAGUUCAAAGUCAAGCUAUUUUUACAUAUUUUCAAAAUUUGUCAAAUUUCGC